This 468-nucleotide ribosomal RNA is filed under the name uncultured bacterium. RNAcentral's name for it is "partial 16S ribosomal RNA". It matches the Rfam family "Bacterial small subunit ribosomal RNA", at positions 28 to 507 of the family's 1533-position model. The record is from RNAcentral.
GACGAACGCUGGCGGCGUGCUUAACACAUGCAAGUCGAACGGAAAGGCCCUGCUUUUGUGGGGUGCUCGAGUGGCGAACGGGUGAGUAACACGUGAGUAACCUGCCCUUGACUUUGGGAUAACUUCAGGAAACUGGGGCUAAUACCGGAUAGGAGCUCCUGCUGCAUGGUGGGGGUUGGAAAGUUUCGGCGGUUGGGGCUCGACUCGCGGCUUCCCCGCUUGUUGGUGGGGUAGUGGCUUACGAAGGCUUCGGCGGGUAGCCGGCCUUGGAGGGCGGCCGGCGACCUGGGGACUGAGGGACGGAGCAGUAGGCUACGGGAGGCAGAGGGGGGGAAUAUUGCGGAGUGGGGGGAAGCCAGAGGCAGCGGCGCCGCGUGCGGGAGGACGGGUUUCGGGGUGUGAACCGCUGUCGACGGAGACGAGGCGUGAGUGACGGUAAUGGGUAAGGAAGCACCGGCUAACUACGUG